AUUGAACGCUGGCGGCAGGCCUAACACAUGCAAGUCGAGCGGAUGAAGCGAGCUUGCUCCUGGAUUCAGCGGCGGACGGGUGAGUAAUGCCUAGGAAUCUGCCUGGUAGUGGGGGAUAACGUCCGGAAACGGGCGCUAAUACCGCAUACGUCCUGAGGGAGAAAGUGGGGGAUCUUCGGACCUCACGCUAUCAGAUGAGCCUAGGUCGGAUUAGCUAGUUGGUGGGGUAAAGGCCUACCAAGGCGACGAUCCGUAACUGGUCUGAGAGGAUGAUCAGUCACACUGGAACUGAGACACGGUCCAGACUCCUACGGGAGGCAGCAGUGGGGAAUAUUGGACAAAGGGCGAAAGCCUGAUCCAGCCAUGCCGCGUGUGUGAAGAAGGUCUUCGGAUUGUAAAGCACUUUAAGUUGGGAGGAAGGGCAGUAAGUUAAUACCUUGCUGUUUUGACGUUACCAACAGAAUAAGCACCGGCUAACUUCGUG
RNAcentral lists this ribosomal RNA (484 nucleotides) under uncultured bacterium. RNAcentral describes it as "partial 16S ribosomal RNA". It matches the Rfam family "Bacterial small subunit ribosomal RNA", at positions 30 to 507 of the family's 1533-position model. The record is from RNAcentral.